Molecule: long non-coding RNA, 921 nt
Filed under: Homo sapiens (human)
Lineage: Eukaryota; Metazoa; Chordata; Mammalia; Primates; Hominidae
Description: ghrelin opposite strand/antisense RNA
Rfam family: Ghrelin opposite strand RNA conserved region (bases 100-169)
Source: RNAcentral
GUUUGAACAUUUAUUCGCCUCCUGAGCUUGUACAACAGUCGUGGGAGUUGCUGCAGAAGCAAGCGAAAAGCCAGAUGAGCGCUUCUAAACUUAGAGAGAGGGAGAGCGCCUCAUCUCUUCCAUUUUCCAGGUAUUCCUGAGAUGAUUUAUUGGAGCUCAAAGCUUUGGGAGAGUUGGGGCCUUCCAUUCCCUCCAGUAAAUACUUGUUUUUCUUCCACCGCUGAGGCAAAUGCGGGGUGGCUGAUCACCUGGCAGACAUCUUAGGAAACAGGAGCACCGGUCUGGGAAACUGCUGGCCUGGCCUAACACCUGGCGCUGUGGUGCAGGAAAAUCAGUCUGCGCUGAACAGGAUGGAAUUGGGGCAGGACGUCCAGUGAGGAGGACAUUGAGGCAGUAGAGCAGUUGAUUGCCGAAUGACCACCUACCCUGACUUAAAAGAUCAACCUCAGGGAGGAUUGGAGCUUUCUAGAGUCUCUUGGGACAGCAGAAGCACAGGCCGGGUUGGACUGAAUCUUUAAGUGGACAUGAGGGACAAAGUACCUCCUGUUGGUAAACAUCUCACCACCAACCCACUGUGGUGGCUAAAAUCCCACCUUUAGUCCCAGCAACAUAUGAGCAUGUCACCAGGAGGUCUUCACAGGCCUGUCUGCCACCUGAGUGUAGACAUCUUUUGGCCCUGGAGCCCAGAGAGGCUGAAUGUGGAGAGGGUGGAGAGAGGUCUGUAGUCCUCAGAGAAGACUUGCAGCUUUUUCAGAGCCACCAACCCAUAAAAAAAAAAAUCCCCAAACAGAAAAAUCCUAACUGUGGUGACCAGGUACCUCCUGAGACAUGAAGCCUCCACUUACCUGGACCCUGGAGGCCUCUCCGGGCACAGCUGCCAAUGUUGAUCUUAGAUAAGACCACCAGCAAGUAAACAUCCAC